This 461-nucleotide ribosomal RNA is filed under the name uncultured bacterium. RNAcentral's name for it is "partial 16S ribosomal RNA". It matches the Rfam family "Bacterial small subunit ribosomal RNA", at positions 338 to 795 of the family's 1533-position model. The record is from RNAcentral.
CCUACGGGUGGCUGCAGUGAGGAAUAUUGGUCAAUGGGCUUACGCCUGAACCAGCCAAGUCGCGUGAGGGAAGACUGCCCUAUGGGUUGUAAACCUCUUUUGUCAGGGAGCAACGCCGGCUACGUGUAGCCGGACUGAGAGUACCUGAAGAAAAAGCAUCGGCUAACUCCGUGCCAGCAGCCGCGGUAAUACGGAGGAUGCGAGCGUUAUCCGGAUUUAUUGGGUUUAAAGGGAGCGUAGGCGGGUUGUUAAGUCAGUUGUGAAAGUUUGCGGCUCAACCGUAAAAUUGCAGUUGAUACUGGCAUCCUUGAGUACAGUAGAGGUAGGCGGAAUUCGUGGUGUAGCGGUGAAAUGCUUAGAUAUCACGAAGAACUCCGAUUGCGAAGGCAGCCUGCUGGACUGUAACUGACGCUGAUGCUCGAAAGUGUGGGUAUCAAACAGGAUUAGAUACCCGAGUAGUC